AAGUCGUAACAAGGUUUCCGUAGGUGAACCUGCGGAAGGAUCAUUAACGAGUUUUUGAAACGGGUUGUUGCUGGCUUCCAAAAAGGAGCAUGUGCACGCCUGACUCAAUCCACUCUCAAACCCCUGUGCACUUAUUGUAGGCUUGGUGAUUGAAGAGCUUGCAAGAGUUCUGAUAGAGCCCUGUCUAUGCUUUUACAAACGCUUCAGUUUAAGAAUGUUACUCGCGUAUAACGCAAUAAAUACAACUUUCAGCAACGGAUCUCUUGGCUCUCGCAUCGAUGAAGAACGCAGCGAAAUGCGAUAAGUAAUGUGAAUUGCAGAAUUCAGUGAAUCAUCGAAUCUUUGAACGCACCUUGCGCUCCUUGGUAUUCCGAGGAGCACGCCUGUUUGAGUGUCAUGGUAUUCUCAACUCUGCAAAGCUUUUGCAAUGAAGAGUUGGAUUUGGAGGCUUGUGUUGGCUCGAAAGAGUUGACUCCUCUGAAAUGCAUUAGUGUGAGCCUUUACGGAUCGCCUUCAGUGUGAUAAUGUCUACGCUGUAGUGUUGAAGUAUUUCUAGUGUUCAUGCUUCUAAUCGUCCUCUUGGGACAAUCAUUUGACAAUCUGACCUCAAAUCAGGUAGGACUACCCGCUGAACUUAAGCAUAUCAAUAAGCGGAGGAAAAGAAACUAACAAGGAUUCCCCUAGUAACUGCGAGUGAAGCGGGAAAAGCUCAAAUUUAAAAUCUGGCAGUCUAUGGCUGUCCGAGUUGUAAUCUGGAGAA
RNAcentral lists this unclassified non-coding RNA (760 nucleotides) under uncultured Scopuloides. RNAcentral's name for it is "sequence contains ITS1, 5.8S rRNA gene and ITS2". The stretch from base 244 to 397 matches the Rfam family "5.8S ribosomal RNA". The record is from RNAcentral. Lineage: Eukaryota; Fungi; Basidiomycota; Agaricomycetes; Polyporales; Meruliaceae.